Molecule: long non-coding RNA, 224 nt
Filed under: Lathyrus oleraceus (garden pea)
Lineage: Eukaryota; Viridiplantae; Streptophyta; Magnoliopsida; Fabales; Fabaceae
Description: Pisum sativum (pea) long non-coding RNA (PSAT_LNC022933)
Source: RNAcentral
AGCCAUUGUGUUUCACAAACUGGAUCUUUACCUGAUACAAUUAAGUGUUUGAUAAUCUUAUCAAUACCAGAACAUAGCUCUGAUACCAAUUAAAGGUGGCAAGAAACACAAGAAAUGGGGGUUUGAAUUAGGUUUCUAAAAAUGAAAGAUUUUUCAACCUAACACAACAAACAGUAAACAAAAAACAAAAAUAAUAAAACAAUUAUUUUUUUCCUGGUUCGUUG